GGGUGGUAAUGCCGGAUGUUCCACAUGAUCGCAUGUGAUUGUGGGAAAGAUUUCAUCGGCGUGGGAUGGGGUCGCGUCCUAUCAGCUUGUUGGUGAGGUAACGGCUCACCAAGGCUUCGACGGGUAGCCGGCCUGAGAGGGCGACCGGCCACAUUGGGACUGAGAUACGGCCCAGACUCCUACGGGAGGCAGCAGUGGGGAAUAUUGCACAAUGGGCGCAAGCCUGAUGCAGCGACGCCGCGUGAGGGAUGGAGGCCUUCGGGUUGUAAACCUCUUUUGUUUGGGAGCAAGCCUUCGGGUGAGUGUACCUUUCGAAUAAGCGCCGGCUAACUACGUGCCAGCAGCCGCGGUAAUACGUAGGGCGCAAGCGUUAUCCGGAUUUAUUGGGCGUAAAGGGCUCGUAGGCGGCUCGUCGCGUCCGGUGUGAAAGUCCAUCGCUUAACGGUGGAUCUGCGCCGGGUACGGGCGGGCUGGAGUGCGGUAGGGGAGACUGGAAUUCCCGGUGUAACGGUGGAAUGUGUAGAUAUCGGAAAGAACACCA
RNAcentral lists this ribosomal RNA (541 nucleotides) under Bifidobacterium bifidum. Its description in RNAcentral is "bacterial SSU rRNA". It matches the Rfam family "Bacterial small subunit ribosomal RNA", at positions 158 to 711 of the family's 1533-position model. Lineage: Bacteria; Bacillati; Actinomycetota; Actinomycetes; Bifidobacteriales; Bifidobacteriaceae. The record is from RNAcentral.